RNAcentral lists this ribosomal RNA (464 nucleotides) under uncultured bacterium. Its description in RNAcentral is "partial 16S ribosomal RNA". It matches the Rfam family "Bacterial small subunit ribosomal RNA", at positions 28 to 506 of the family's 1533-position model. The record is from RNAcentral.
GAUGAACGCUGGCGGCGUGCUUAACACAUGCAAGUCGAACGGAAAGGCUCCUGCUUGCAGGGGUACUCGAGUGGCGAACGGGUGAGUAACACGUGGGUGAUCUGCCCUGCACUUCGGGAUAAGCCUGGGAAACUGGGUCUAAUACCGGAUAGGACCACAUUUUGGAUGGUGUGGUGGAAAGUUUUUCGGUGUGGGAUGAGCUCGCGGCCUAUCAGCUUGUUGGUGGGGUAAUGGCCUACCAAGGCGUCGACGGGUAGCCGGCCUGAGAGGGUGUACGGCCACAUUGGGACGGAGAUACGGCCCAGACUCCUACGGGAGGCAGCAGUGGGGAAUAUUGCACAAUGGGCGCGAGCCUGAUGCAGCGACGCCGGGUGGGGGAUGACGGCCUUCGGGUUGUAAACUCCUUUCGCUAGGGACGAAGCGCAAGUGACGGUACCUGGAGAAGAAGCACCGGCUAACUACGU